This 693-nucleotide long non-coding RNA is filed under the name Rattus norvegicus (Norway rat). RNAcentral describes it as "long non-coding RNA NONRATT015887". Lineage: Eukaryota; Metazoa; Chordata; Mammalia; Rodentia; Muridae. The record is from RNAcentral.
GUGGGCACUACAUUGCCUACUGCAGAAACAAUUUAAAUAACCUGUGGUAUGAGUUUGAUGACCAGAGCGUCACUGAAGUUUCAGAGUCCACCGUACAGAAUGCCGAAGCCUACGUCCUUUUCUACAGGUGAGGGGAACUGUCAGGACCAUGUGAAGAACAUGUCUUCACAGGGAUUUGUGCUUCUGAGACUCUUGGAGUUUAUAGGUGAAGACUAGAAAUUCUGUGUACUCUCAUGAGUGAGAUCAAGAACGUGUUUACAGAACGAUACUUUGUUUAGAAAAUGAAGACUUCAUAGCUAGGCAAAGGGAUAUAUUAUUGUGCUUUAAAUAGUUCUUUGUAAGUAAAGUUUUUAGUUUAUUGUAUGUGUAUGGGUAUUUUGCAUGUCUGUGUGUCUGUGUACCACACUUGCUUGGUGGCUGACGAGGUCAGAAGAGGGCCUCAGAUCUGCUGUACCUGGAGUUACGGCUAGGUGUGAGCUGCCAUGUAUGUUCUAGGAUCUAACCGAGGUCCUCCAAAGAAUAACAAGUAUUCUGAACUGCCAAGUUGUCUCUCCAGCCCCUCACUUCUUUCUUUAACAUGUAUGUAUGUAUGUAUGUAUGUAUGUAUGUAUGUAUGUAUGUAUGUAUGUGUAUAUGGAUGUAUAUGCCUGUCUUCAUGCACCAAAGGUCAUCUGUUCAAACAACAACUUCUGG